AAAUCCUCAAGAUAAAAUCUUCCGUUCAUUCGAUUGGUUUUAUUUUGGACUUUGGAGGUCUUGCAGAUUCCCAUGUCUGCUCCUCUCAAAUGCAUUAGCUGGAUCUCCAUGAAGCCUUGGUUCCACUCGGCGUGAUAAAUAAUCGCUCGCUGAGGACACUGUAAAAAGUGGCCAGGUUCCACAGAUGAACUGCUUCCAACCCGUCCUUUAGGUAGGACAGUUGAACUUUUAUG
RNAcentral lists this unclassified non-coding RNA (233 nucleotides) under uncultured Ceratobasidiaceae. RNAcentral describes it as "sequence contains ITS2". The record is from RNAcentral. Lineage: Eukaryota; Fungi; Basidiomycota; Agaricomycetes; Cantharellales; Ceratobasidiaceae.